RNAcentral lists this unclassified non-coding RNA (336 nucleotides) under soil metagenome. RNAcentral describes it as "partial contains 5.8S ribosomal RNA, internal transcribed spacer 2, and large subunit ribosomal RNA". The stretch from base 1 to 120 matches the Rfam family "5.8S ribosomal RNA", at positions 35 to 154 of the family's 154-position model. The record is from RNAcentral.
GAUGAAGAACGUAGCGAAAUGCGAUAAGUAAUGUGAAUUGCAGAAUUCAGUGAAUCAUCGAAUCUUUGAACGCACAUUGCGCCCGCCAGUAUUCUGGCGGGCAUGCCUGUUCGAGCGUCAUUUCAACCAUCAAGCCCAAGGCUUGUGUUGGGGACCUGCGGCUGCCGCAGGCCCUGAAAACCAGUGGCGGGCUCGCUGUCACACCGGGCGUAGUAGAUUUUAUCUCGCUCAGGGCGUGCUGCGGGUUCCGGCCGUUAAAAAGCCUUUUUUACCCAAGGUUGACCUCGGAUCAGGUAGGAAGACCCGCUGAACUUAAGCAUAUCAAUAAGCGGAGGA